Molecule: long non-coding RNA, 3717 nt
Filed under: Homo sapiens (human)
Lineage: Eukaryota; Metazoa; Chordata; Mammalia; Primates; Hominidae
Description: HSALNT0127208
Source: RNAcentral
AGUGCUGGGAUUACAGGCGUGAGCCACCGUGCCCACCUCACAAUAUGUUUUUUUAAUCCCAAAUGAUAACAUCUCUUUUUCUAUAACUUUUCUAUCAUUAUUUUUCUUCCAGAUAUUUUAGUGUGAGAAAAUAAUUUUCUGUUCAAAUGCCAUUGUCCAAACUGUCAGAGAUACUAUCUUAUAAGGAAUUAUUAUUGGAAGGAAACAAAAUCAGUUUAUAUAUCAAUACUGGUGGAUCUUGAGAUACUUAGAAAACUAGGUCACAUCCCCUCAGUUAUGAGAUCAGAGGGGAACUUAAAAGAAAGAAGACUUUUACCUUGUUAGAAAGUUAAAAUCAAGUGUGAACUCUUUUUAUGUAGACAUCUUCUGUGUGAGUUUAUUUUUUAAGGACUUUUAUUUAUCUUUUUUUUUUUUUUAAGAGACAGGGUCAGCCAGGCAGUGGCAUGAUCACGAUCAUAGCUCACUGCAAUCUUGAACUCCUGGGUUCAAGCCAUCCUCCAGCCUCAGCCUGGACUGCAAGGCAUAUGCCACCACACUUGGCUAAUUUUUUAAUUUUUAUGUUCUUUUUUUUUUUUUUUUUGUAGAGACAGAGUCUCACUAUGUUGCCCAGGCUGGUCUUGAAUUCCUGGCCUCAAGUAACCCUUGCAUCUCCACCUCCCAGAGUGCUGGGAUUACAGGCAUGAGCCAUCAUGCCCAGCUGAGGACCUUUAAAAGAGCAACUCCUCCCUGUCUCAAUUCCUCUGAGCUGCUUGUAUUGGCACAGUGACAUGCAAUUGAAAUUUCAUUUUCAAGCCAUAAUAAAUGGUAUACUGAAAAUUUCCCCUAUUUGUUAGUUACAAACAAAACAAUUCUGUCUUUUCCUCCACUUCUAGAAUAUUUUCAAAUUGGUCAUAUAGGAGGUCAAAAGAAAUCUCUAUGAAUUCAUGUUUGACAAUCUAUAAAGUAUGUUUCAGCUGGGACUGCUAACAGAAAAGACUGAUGUGAACCUGAUAUCACCAAUGGCUACUUUAUGGGACCUGAAAAGAGCUUCAUAGAGGAUUUCAGAGCCAUUUAGCCCUAGGUCCAGCUGUGCCUGAAACCAUCUUUCCUUGAACACUUCAGUUAUAUGAGACAAAAAAGUCUCCUUUUCACUUAAGCCAAUUUGAAUUGAAUUCUAGCACUUGCCACUCACAUGGACAUUUUAUCAAGUGUCAAGGGCAACAAGGAGUUACACUGAGUUCCCCCAGAGAAGGAAGGAGAAAGAUAGAAGCACAAGGGAAGCUAAUGUUUAGAUCACAAGAUAGAAACUGCUGCCCAGGAGGAGAGAAAAAACCCCUGAGGUUGGAAGAACGCAGGGUGUCUGAUUAAUGAAUGGCAGGGCUAUCCUCCCACUCAGCUGCCCUGGAGGAUUCCACAGAAAUGGCACAUGCAUGCCUGUGAUUUGUUCCUUAAGUGCCUCAGCCUUAAGAGCAGUAGUAAUGCCUGUGACCAAUCCUGUGGUCAGUGUAGGGUAUAGGGCUCCCAAAAUAUUGUGCCAUGGCCUAACAGGGUUAUCCAGUUGCCUCAGUGUGCUGUAAAUUUUUUUUUCAUUUUUACUGUAUUCCCUGAUGUAAAAAAAGAGAUUGGAAAGCACUAGAAGAGGAUUGCCAUGUGAGGUUUCUAUCAUAGAGCUUGUAGCAGACAAAUCAUCAUCCCCCAAAGAUGUCCAUGUCCUAAUUCCUAGAACCUGCGAAUAUGUUGGGUUACCUGGCAAGGGGGAAUUAAGGUGGCAGAUGGAAUUAAGUUUGUUAAUCAGAUGGCUUCAAAAUAAGGAGAUUAUUCUGGAUUAUCCAUGUGGACCCAGUGUAAUCACAAGGGUUUUUAAAUGGGAAGGAGGGAGACGGAAGAAUUAGAAUCUCUGGGAGAUGGCAUCAUCCUGAGAAAGACUGGAGCUGCCCUUGCUGGCUUUGAAGAUGGAGGAAGGGGCCACUAACUGGGGAAUGCAGCCAGCUUCACGAAGCUGGAAAAGCAAAAGUCCAUCUGAGACCUGCUUUCAUUGCACUGCCUCGUGAGGAGCUGUAGGAGAAGAUAUCAUAACUAUUCCCCACUUCUAAUUGUUAGAAGCAACAGCUGUCUAUCAAGAACAAUCUGAGGAUUGUGCACAAAUUGAUUUGGUUCUAUCAAGUGCUGGCUUUCGAUUCCAGUCUGACUUCACUACCACAGGAGCUUCUUGCUCAGGCUUCUGUUCCGGCUCCAUUCUCUCCCUGCCAUUAUAAUGCCAUCCACUGCAGCACCAUCUCUUCAAUCAGAAAACAUUCAUGAUCUCAUUCCACCUGAAGCCAGUGCCUCUGUAAUGUGUAGCAGAAUCCUAUGGAGAAGUUGUAAAAACACAAAAUGUUGGCCCCACCCCAAGAGUUUCUGAUUUUGCAGGUCUGGAGAGGGCCUGUGAUACGUACUUCUAACAAGCUCCCAGGCGAUGCUAAUGUUGCUGGUCUAGAAACACACUUUGAGAGCCACUGUUUUACAAUGUAUUCACCCAGCUUAUGCAAUCAACUACUAUCACAGCAAAGUCCAAAGAAUGCUCCUUAUUUGUUUGUUAUACUGGAGUUUGGCUUGGCUAAAUAUUAUUUGAAACUGAAUGGCUGUUGAUUGUGGCUCAGAAACUGUUUUCUUCAUAGCGCUGCAAUUGGAUUUAUUUAUUAGAAUUUGAGCUGAAUGUUGUCGUACAUUUUGGUUACAUUGGUUUCUCAGGAUAUUUUAUAGGUACAUGUUGUCUCUUUCUAAGUGCACUGUCACUUGAGGUGGGCCUGGGCCUUUUGUUCCUGUUUGUCCUUACUCUUCCACGGAGCUAGCAGUCUCCAGCACAGGGGUGAUCAGUUCUUAAUCACUGAAGACUAAUUAAUCUUUCAGUAUACAUGCUAUUUUAGUGAGUAAUUUUUGCCAGAAAUACUAGUGCUGAUGUAAAAUAAGGGUUAGGAUUAGGGAAGGAUUUGGCCUGAAUAAUUCAAUUUAUAUGUAUAAGUCAGGGUUCUCUAGAGAAAUAGAAUCAAUAGGGUGUGUGUGUGUGUGUGUGUGUGUGUGGUGGUGGUGGCAGUGCAGGGACAGAGACAGAGAGACAGGGAGGGAGAGAGAGAGAGGGACAGAAAGAGAGAGAGAGAUUUAUGAGAAGGAAUUGGCUCACACAAUCACGGAGGCUGAGAAGUCCCUAGGAUCUGCAGUCAGCUAGCUGGAGACCAAGGAGAGCUGAUGGUAUUGUUCCAGUCCAAGUCCAAAACCCUGAGAACCAGGAGAGAUGAUAGUGCAAGUUUCAGUCCAAAAGAUGCCAAAUUCAAGAUCCAAGAAGAACUGAUGUUUCAGUUUGCGUCUAAAGGCAGGAAAAGACCGAUGUCUCAGCUCAAGUAUCAGGCAGAAGGAGUGCCCUCUUAAAAAGAAUCAGCCUUUUUGUUCUAUUCAGGCCUUCAACUCAUUGGAUGAGGGCCACAUGCAUUAGGGAAGGCAAUCUGCUUUCCGCAGUCUGUGCAUUCAUAUGUUAAUCUCAUCCAAAAACACCCUUACAGACACACCCAGAAUUAUGCUUGACCUAAUACCUGGGCACUCCACAUCCCAGUCAAGUUGACACAAAAUUAACCAUCACACUAUAUAUGUAUAAUCAUUAGUUAAAUGGAAAUUGGUUCACUGUCCAAAUUCCUCUACCUUUUGCCUCAAUGAAAAAAAAAAUGGUUGCCUGUUCACUCUGAUGGUAGUUUCUUUUGCUGUGUG